Molecule: long non-coding RNA, 273 nt
Filed under: Panax ginseng (ginseng)
Lineage: Eukaryota; Viridiplantae; Streptophyta; Magnoliopsida; Apiales; Araliaceae
Description: long non-coding RNA (PGIN_LNC018252)
Source: RNAcentral
UUGGCUGUGACAACCCGUGAAUUGCUAUCAUUUCCUCCUAUAUUUUGAACACGAGUCUCCCUCGUCUGAUUUUGCAUGAACUGCAAAAAGCUUCUAAACAUCGCAUCAUUCAUCGUUUGCUCGGUAGUGUUGUUUACAGGAGGAAUAUUGCCUUCCUGAUGCACGUUCUCCUGGUUUGUGACUAAAGGUAUCUCCACAGUCUCAUACACUCCAUUGUUAACGUUCUCAGCUGCCAUCUUAAAUACUGCCAUAAAACAAGGGUUAAUUAAACAU